RNAcentral lists this transfer RNA (73 nucleotides) under Ixodes scapularis (black-legged tick). It matches the Rfam family "tRNA". Rfam says of the family: Transfer RNA (tRNA) molecules are approximately 80 nucleotides in length. Their secondary structure includes four short double-helical elements and three loops (D, anti-codon, and T loops). Further hydrogen bonds mediate the characteristic L-shaped molecular structure. tRNAs have two regions of fundamental functional importance: the anti-codon, which is responsible for specific mRNA codon recognition, and the 3' end, to which the tRNAs corresponding amino acid is attached (by aminoacyl-tRNA synthetases). tRNAs cope with the degeneracy of the genetic code in two manners: having more than one tRNA (with a specific anti-codon) for a particular amino acid; and 'wobble' base-pairing, i.e. permitting non-standard base-pairing at the 3rd anti-codon position. The record is from Rfam by way of RNAcentral. Lineage: Eukaryota; Metazoa; Arthropoda; Arachnida; Ixodida; Ixodidae.
CCCUGGUUAGCUCAGUUGGUAGAACGCACCACCUGUAAUGGAGAGGUCCCGGGUUCGAUACCCGGACCAGGCG